UAUCACAGGAGCGGCACGAACGAAAACUAUGAAGACAGCAGGAAACCACGCGCGAGUUAUGUUAUAUUUGUACAAGUUUUGAAGCAUGUCUCGUGAAAGAAGGCACGAAGCAGGAAGAUUUAUUUAUCGGCAAUCAUUCUUUUCUCUGCAAUCUUGAAGACGACUCGAGCAGCUCUAUAGGUAGUUGGAGAGGCAAAUAGGGUAUUUGACGGUGCCGACAGCUUUGUCCGAAAAAUUGGAAAGUCUGAUUUUUUGGAGUACAAAUUAUUGGUCAGCGACCUGGUUGGUAGGGCGACUGUCAAUGGGUUGCAUUCAAAAUUAGGUUAAACAUCCCAUACAAAUGUCAUCAUGCACAAAAUACUAGAACGCCUCACCUGAUCCUUCUGUGUAUCGAGCUGUGUAAGGCGAUCCCUAAGCUGUGAUGCCGACUGGGACAAUGCGGCAUGUUGAGAGGCUAAGCAUGCCGCCUCAACUUGCAGUUGUGCGUGCUGUGCUUGAAGGGCAAGGCGUUGCUGCUCGCUGCUUGUGGCACGGCCCUGCAGAACUGCAGUGUGUUCCUGCAGUGCCUGCAGCUGGUCGCGUGCACAGCAUGCUUCUUCCUCCAACUGACAAUUCUGCAGCUGCACAAUGUGGUCUCUCAGCUCAAAAAUCUUCCUUGGAAUGAGCUUGUCUGCAUCGGUGCAACUGCAGCACUAACCAGAGUAAAGCAACGCCUAAGCGAAUGGAAAAUGCAAGAAUGCCUCAGACAGCGAGAGCCUUACUUUGCUGAGUUCCAGUUGCUCCUGCAGGCCGGCAACUCGUUUCCGCAGUCGAGUACAUUGAGACUCCAUGUCUGCGAGCUGCAAGGCACUUGCGCUGCGUUCCGCGCUCAACUGAGCUCGUUCACUGAUGCACAGUUACCUUCGGAGGAACCUACGAGAGAGAUUGGCAUUGUCCCGUGCCCGCAGCUGAUGUAGUUCCGCUCGCAGGUGGGUGGCUUCUUCUAGUGCGGCUUUCUGCUCUAACUGCAGAUGCUGCUGCUGUUCCAACAGCUUCUGCACCUGCUCACGCUCCAGAUCACGCUCCUAAAGUAGACAACCGCAUCAAAGCCUCGAGCGAAAUCAAACGUACUGUUUCAAAAGUAGAGCCUGAAGUUUUAGGGUUUAACCCAAUUCUUCCCCGAAUUUGCACCCUGAAUUGCAGGUUGCGUCUGUAGGAAUACACACUACCUUGUUUGGCAGCAAAUGCAGUUACAUCACAGUUUGUACCAAACCAGUACAGUUAGUUUGAGUAACUGAGCCCGAUUUCUCUCCGAAUUUAGUAUACUGGGAGUUUCUUCACCCCAAUUCGCAUGAAUGUAGAGCACAUGUUUUUUUUAGCACAAUUUUUACCCCCCACCCCCCGAAUUUAGAAAAAAAAUUGCCCAAAAACUUCAGGCUCUAUUCAAAAGUACAGUCGCCGACUGACUCCAAACAUUUUGGACUUUCCAAUUUUUCUGACAAAACUAGUGGGUUCAAACAUGCCAUAGCUCCAAUGUAUUUCCAUCUUGAAUAUUUCAGACCAUUUCUUAAAAGAACAGCUCGACGUUUCAUGCACAUACAACCCCCGAGAUUGCUUAGUUUUUAGGAGCCAGAGAGCCGAAAGCAGCAGAGCAGAUCUAGAGGGGGGGGUCAGGAAGUCCUGACCUCCUCCUCAAUUUCUGUCUUCACAUAGUGUUUAGUUGACCUAGAUCAUGUAUCUACCAUGCUGGCAAAGGUUGGACCCCCAUCUCAGAAAAAUCCUGAAUCCGCAAGUGUUCAGAGCCCUAUAUUUCGGACUGCAUUACCAAUGUAUUUGCAGACACAGCACAUGCGCAGGGUGUGCAUGUGCAGAGGCAGAGCUUAUGUGUGUGCACUGAACCGCUCAGCUUCAGACAGGCGGAAGCACAGAAAUCACGUGUAGAGAAGCAGAAGGCUCGAGGCUAGGGUGAUGAUGGUAGCAAUGAGUAUGUUGAUGAUCCCCCGUUAACCCGCUGGUGAAAUGUGGCGAUCCUUGCAACACAGCCAUCAACACGCUCGUUAAUGUGCACACAGUGAGAGUGCAACACUGGCAGAAAUUCACCGCGAAGCAUCGUGCCGUGUUCAUGCAAUGAAACAAACAUGCUUAGACAGUUUUUUUAAACACCUUAAAAAGUGUUCUGAAUAAAGACCUUAGAAACAAAGUGAAUUUUUUUGCCAUCCACUAAAAAUGCGAACUCGUAAUAAUUUUGGCUUAUUCUAAGUUCUUUUUUGGAAGUCCAAAAAAUCGGUCGGUGAGUGUAUUUUAAAAGUCUCUCUGUGUGAAAUGUUGCAUACCAAUGCACACUCGCUGAUGCGAGCCCUCGCCCGCAAGAGCUCGGAUUCCAGCUGCAGGGCCUGCUCCGCUCUUCUUCUGCACGACUCCAGUUGUUCUUCCAACAUGGCUUUUGUCUCACCCAAGAUACGUUUGUCCUCGCGCAAUUCCUGUAAUUCCCAAGGCACCAUGAAGCUCCCUCAAUGUGAUUUUCAGGUGGGACGCAGACCAACCUCAACUCUCGUACGAAAAAAUUCGAGUUCAUUCAUCUUGUCCUUGUAACGGUGGAUCUCUGCUUCCAGGCGGUCGAGUUUCAAUACCUGAAACAAUGCAGAUAUUGGAUGUAUUGGAUUUGAUGUAUUGGAUUGGAUUGAAUGCAUUUUUGGACAGGUUUGGUCGAUGUUAUAGAAGGGAAUGUGAUAUAUACAGGGUGUUUCAUGAAAAUCCCCCGGCUGAAUAAUUCGUGAACAGGUGGCGCUAGCGAAAAAAUUUUUUGCGUGAAACACCCUGUAUAUAUGCCACUACAUAGAGCCUAUACUUAAACCAGGUUUAAACCCACCUAUUCACUGAUGCCUGCUAUAUGUCAUACAUCGCUCAUUGUACAUUGAAUCCUGUACAUUACACACUAUGUUAAAAUGUGAUAUCCACAUAUUAUUAUUAGAGCCUGAAGUUUUAGGGUUUAACCAGAUUCUUCCCCAAAUUUGCACCCCGAAUUGAAGGUUGCCUCUUUAGUGUGAAACCCGAUUUCUACCCAUCAAAUUGCCAUCACUGAGAUGUCUGUAGGAACGCACACUAACUUGUUUUGCAGCAAGUGCAGCUACAUCACCGUUUGCACCAAACCAGAACACGUAGUUUGAGUAACUGAGCCAGAUUUCUCCCCGAAUUUAGCAUACUGGAAGUUUUUCCACCCGAACUUGCAUGAAUUUAAAGCACAUGUUUAUUUACCCAAUUUUUACCCCCAAUUUAGAAAAAAAUAUUUCCCAAAAACUUCAGGCUCUAAUUAUUAUUCUGUGUAACUGCAUGCUUUGUAUAAUGACGAAGAAGUGCUCUCAAUCGACCUUUGUUUUGAAUGAAAGGAACACUGACAUACAUAUGAAGGCUUACUUAGUUUUGCCAGUGAUGUAGAAAUUGACGUAGAAAACCGACACAAUGGGACAGUUUAUAGACCAACGUCGCACAAGUCAUCGAGAGGACACUGGGUCAAUGUAUGAGUAAAUGGGACAUAACAACAAGAAUCCCCCAAUUUUUAGUGAAACAAAUCAAGUUGGGCCCAUCCUCCGGUGGUUUCAUUACUUUGUACGUCUCAUUCAUUUACUCACCUUUUCCUUGAGAAUGUCAAUCUCGUCACGAUAUGCUUUAGCCAUCCUAGCAUCUUGCACUAACUCCAAGUUCUGAAAAUGCAUGUCCAGUGAGCACCUCAUUAAUAAGAGGUAGAAAUACACACUAACAAAAAUGCAGAGAGAUCUGAAAUUGGUGCACAUACUUGCUGUCUCAAACGCACAAUAGCAUCUUUCAUGUUGUCCAACUCUUCCUUCUGUUCAGAAAGUGACUCAAUCUUUUCUUCCCUGGAGCGAAAAAGAUCCAAUGUUUUUAUAACCUUGCCAACAUCCAAGAAUGCUCACAGUUACUGCACAAUUUUAUGUAAUCUUUAGCUCUGUUAUAUGUUCUAUUUUAUGCUACACUGAUUAUUAUAACUUAGAAUAAUGUUUAUUACUCCUCUGUAUAUAUUUUUUGCCCUAACAAAUUGUCACUCAUUUUGUAAUAAUGACUAUCAGUUUUUGGACCAAAACAACAACAAAAAGUAAUAACCGACAAUUUUAUGUAAUCUUUAGCUCUGUUACAUAUUGUAUUUUGUGCUCCAUUGAUUAUUAUAACUUAGAACAAUGUUUAUUACUCUUCUGUAUGAUUUUUUCCCCAACAAAUUUUCACGUAAUGAUGGCUAUCAGCUUUUGCACACACAAAAAAAACACACACACACACACAAUAACCAAACAGGCAUGAUACAACACUAGUCCAUAUGUUGCAUCAUGUAUUUUAUUUGGCAGCCCUUUAAACCUGCAUGCAAGCUUUCAGAAAGCUUAGAUUCAGCACAAUUAGAAGCACUAAUGAACUGAAGACUCGAGUAGCGAAGUGGAGAACAUCAACACAUGGCCAGUGAUCUGCAGCAGAAUUUUACAUGACUUCAGAUGUCAUACAUUGCAAAGCUUUCACAGUAGCUUAUUAUCGCAAAAAUGUGAAUUCCAGACUUUCAUAAUAACACCGGAAGUUGAUGUCAUCGUGUGUCCCAAUGCAGUAGAACAGAAACAGACGAUGGGAAAUAUGUUUUUAGGAUACUACACAUAUUAUUUCAGUAUUUCAAUACUUUGCUCUUGAAAGGAGCAGUACAAUCCUGAUACAUAUAUUUCCAUAUUUUCUACAUUUUUUCAUUACAUUAUUCUACAUUUUUCUACAUGACAAUAAAUUUCUACAUUUUCA
Molecule: long non-coding RNA, 4764 nt
Organism: Ornithodoros turicata
Lineage: Eukaryota; Metazoa; Arthropoda; Arachnida; Ixodida; Argasidae
Exons: 4
Source: RefSeq, a predicted model, not a curated record